This is a long non-coding RNA of Vespa velutina, 5781 nucleotides long. RefSeq lists it as uncharacterized. Lineage: Eukaryota; Metazoa; Arthropoda; Insecta; Hymenoptera; Vespidae. The transcript has 3 exons. The record is from RefSeq and is a predicted model, not a curated record.
UUUAAUCAUAAUUUUUUUAUGUGAUAUUUUUAAUUGAUAAUUAUUAUUAGUUAUAAUAAUCGAUAAAUGAAACAAAAAUUGAAUGAACAAAAUGGAAAAAUACUUAUCGCCGUCGUUUCAUUCUUAGCAAAUAUUUUCAACGAAAUUUCGAGAGAAUCAUAUCGUCAUAAUGUUCUCGUAACGGUUCUCCUAACUAACAAAACACGAAUGAACUCUGAACUUAUGACGUAAACAAAACGCAAUGUGGAGGAUUCUAAGGCAAAAGUGUCAGAGACCAACUCGAAGAUUUUCAAAGCGAAUGCAUUUAACGUGGUUACCGCGAAUGCGUUCGUACGUUUAUUUAAAUUUAUUCAUUUAUUUAUUUAUUUUACUUUUCUCUCUCUCUCUCUCUCUCUCUCUCUCUUUUUCUCUAUUUCUUUCUUCAAAGAUCUUUUUCGAUACUCGACCACGUAAAUAUAUAAUAAUUAAGAUAAGUUUUCUCUUUGAGAAAGGUAAUCGAACGCUCUCUAUUAGUAUAUAUGUCGAGUCACACUCGACAUCGUAUACUAAAACAUUGAAUCUGAUCUUCUCUUUGUUCCUUUCUCUCUCUCUCUCUCUCUCUCUCUCUCUCUCUCUUUCUGUUUCUUUCUCCUUUCGAUAAUCUUUCUUCUCGGAAUAAUAAUACGGAACCGAGUCCAACGACCAUACACGAUUUUGAUCACCCGUCCACGUUAGGCAAUAGAAACUUGAAUUUCAAAUGCCAGGUAAAAUAGAUUCGGUCUCGUAUAAGAUAUGAAAAAAAAAAUAAAAAAAAAAAUAAAAAAUAAAAAAAAAAUAAAAGAAAUUGUUAGGACUUUCGAUAGAAUAAAUAAAGAGAUAACGAUAAAAAAAAAAAUAUUUAUUAUUAUUGUCGCCGCCGAUCUAUGCCGUAGGAAGAAAGAAAACUUUAUCGUCGACUGCUCGUCUUGCUUAACCGAACGCUUAACCCGUUAAUUGGCAAUUCACCGAAGAAGCGACAAUGACGGUCCUGCACUGGUGCAAAUUGAAAAAUUUGCUCGUACACUCGCAUCAGCCUGUAGACUGUCAUUGUCCAAUACUGAUCUUUACAUAUACAUACAUACAUACAUACAUAUAUACAUACAUAUAUAUAUAUAUAUAUAUAUAUGUAUAUAUGUAUAUAUGUAUAUAUGUAUAUAUGUAUAUAAACAUAUGUACACAUAUGUAUGUCUAUAUGUAGCGUAGUAAAUAAUUCGAACGAAAAAAUUCAAGUCAUCGUUUGAUUUAUGACGUCGAUCUGACUUCGAUCUAUAUAUUAUAGGGGAAGAAAAAAAAGAAAAAAAAAGAAAAAAAAAAGAAGAAAAAGAUAAUAAAGAAAAAUAUUAUUUCAAAAUAAGAUAUUUAUAUGUAUAUAUGACUUUAGGACAAUUUUAAUAUUUAAUGUAUAAUUCUUUUUUCUUUUUCCAUUUCUUUUUAUUCCUCUUAUUUUCUUUUCUUUUAUUUUAUCGAGAAACUUGUCUAUCUCAUCGAAAUCACAGAAUCCACAAGAGUAACGUAACGGGGAAUUUACCGAGGCUAUAAUUAUAGAAGGAUAAACGUGGGAAUCUAUUAUGUGACGUCUCGAGAAAUUUCCUUUUCAUCUUUGCCACGUGGCAAUGUGCGCAUAUUAAUUAUUUUCAUUUUAAUGAAAGAGGAAGCCUUCGAAUACUUACGUACGAAUAGAAGGAAACAUACAAGAUAAUUUCGAAAGAAUUGGGUAAUAAAUAGAAAAAGAGUAAAAAAAAAACAGAGAGAGAGAGAGAGAGGGGAAAAAAAUUGUUUCGAAAAAGAAAGGCUAUACAAUCAACACGAUCGACGCUAUAAACGAACCGAAUCGAAUCUAACCGAAUCGAACGAAAAACCGAAAGAUUAUUAAUUUACAAAUUCUACCAAUAAUAAUCGUAACAUCCAUCUGUUCGCGGUAUAACGUUAUGGUUAAUUUCGUUCAACGCGAGUAAUAGUCCGGAAAAAGAAUUAUCUAGUCUGCCAUUACUCUCUCUCUCUCGUUCUUUUCUUUUUUUUUUUUUUUUUUUUCAUACGUACACACACGCAUACACAAACAGAGGACAUGUGAGUAAAUUAAAUAAAAAAAAAAAAAAAAACAAAAAAAAAAAAGAAAAGAAAGAAAAAAGGAAAGAAGGAAAGAAAGAAAAGAAAAAUAUUUUCAAAGAGUUCGCAAGGUACGUGCGUGCGGUUGCUUGAGCGCGUAAAAUCGUCGUAGUGACGUUUGACCCUCAUAAAUGUUUCACUCGUGCACCUCGAACCCACGCAAAUUUUACAACGUGCUCCGAGGUGUAUCGAGCAGACCAAACAUCUCAGCGUGAUUUUGUUGGUCAGUUCAACGAAAAAAGAAAAACAAAAAACAGGGAGACUUACGAAAUGAAAGAGAGACGUGCGUCCGGCCGGUUUUCUCGGUCGCAGCAAGCUCGUUCUUAUCGCUUCGUGUCGUUCCUCGCGCCAUGUUGGAUAGAGAGUCGUUGCAAGGCUCGGCAAGCUUCGAAAGAAAGAGCGAGAGAGCGAGAGAAAGAGAAAGAGCGAGAGAGAGAGAGAGAGAGAGAGAAAGAGAAAGAGAAAGAGAGAGAGAGAGAGAGAGAGAGAAAGAGAGAGAGAGAAGCUGAGUCUCUCCAACCCUUUUCAUCCGAUAGCGGGACAAAGAAAAGGCGACGGUGGCGAGCACGGUGGCGAGUCAAACGAUAUAACCAAGUGCUUUUCAACGUAAGCAAGUAAAAAAAAAAAAAAAAAAGAAAAAAGAAAAGAAAAGAAAGAAAAAAUAAAAUAAAAUAAAUUCACGAUUGGUCUCUCUGUUUUUCGUCUUUUUUGCGUUCUAUUUAUUUAUUUAUUUUUUCUUUGUUUUUCGUUUACCUUUCAUUUUUAUUUAUUUAUUUAUUCUUUUUUUCUUUUUUGUCUUUUUUCUUUCAUCUUUUAUUAUUAUAUUUACAACGUAAGAAACACUUAUCGAAUUUGAAUUCAAUUAAUUUUUUGACGUUUGAUCAGAUUGAAAUACAUUUUUUAUAUUAAUAUAAAUUAAUUUUCUUCGUAAUCUACGACAUACGCAUAUAUCAGUGAUUGAAAAGAGAAAAUAAUACGUAUCGUCUUAACGAAUAUAUAAUGUGAUGUCUCUGGCACGUCAUCGAUUCCUAUCUUCUUUAUGAUUAAUAUGUAUAUAUAUAUAUAUAUGUAUAUUUGUUAUAAAUACAUACGUAUACGUACUUUAUUGAAAAGUAUUAAUGCACGACAUAACGUGAAAAAAGAAAAAGAAAAAAAGAAAAAAGAUAGUAAGAAAAUAAUAUUUAAAGCUCAUUCGUAAGACAUUGAUCUUAAAAGAUCGACGAACAAGAAAGAAAGAAAAAAAAAAAAAAAGAAACAACAAAACAAAAAAAUCAACAAUCACGAUACCUAAGAACAUUACAUACAUGACGUCUUUCGUCUAUUAAAUAUCUUCUAAUAAAAUUUUAUGUAUUUUUUCUAAACAAGAUCAAAGAAUGUACUAUGUAAUAUACCACUCCAUAAGAACGUAAGAACUUAGCCGUAAAUACUUAAAGAGAGAGAGAAAAUCCGUACUGUAUGAAGAUUGUUCGAACAAUCACAGUCAAGAGUUAUAAUUCGAUAGAAGCGUUAGAAGUGCAAUAGAGUAUUUCCCACUUGUGAUCUUCCUCUUUUCGUAAGCGUCGGUUCAAGAGAAGAAAAAGAAGAGAAAGAUGAAUAAGAAGAUGAAGAUGAAGAUGAAGAUGAAGAUGAAGAUGAAGAUGAAGAUGAAGAUGAAGAUGAAGAAGAGAAGAAGAAGAAGAAGAAGGUGUCAGGGUCGUGCCGCUUUCAGGGACGUCGACUUCUCAAACUUGCUUACUUCUUUUUCUUCUUCAUCAUCCUCCACUCCUUUUUCUUUCUAUUUUUUUCCCCCUCAUCCCUCCUCUCUCACCCCUCCCCAUUUCCCUCCCCUUUUCCCCUGCUCCCUCGAAAUGGGGGUUGGAAGGAACAAUGUAUUUUCGUUUUUCGUACGGCUAUAUAAUUAUGCCGACCGUACGAGAGAAUCGAUUUAUAACGAGUUCAACUCUCGUCGUUGGAUUGGAAUUUAAAAAGAUGACGACAAAAAGGAAAAAAAAAAAAAAAAAAAAGAAAAAAGAAAAGAAUUAGAAGAAGACAAUUUUUAUGCCAAGACAAUUUUCAUCCCCAAUCCCAUUGGACCCUCGGCAUCCACAUUAUUUCUCCCAAAAAGUAUUUCUAACGAUAAAAGAGUAAAAAUUUAUUAAAGGAAAAACUCGAGUAAGUGUCUCCGACUUUGUUGUUUGUUACGCUCCUGUUCGCAACGUGGGAUGUUGUGAGAGACAGAGACAGAGACAAAUAGACAGGGAGAAAGAACGAGAGAAAGAGAGAGAGAGAGAGAGAGAGAGAGAGAGAGAGAGAGAGAGAGAGAGAGAGAGGGAGGGAGAGAAGGAUAACGACGAGUGCGAGAGUGAUAGACUAACGAUAGGACGUAGAAAAGAGCGAAAGGGUUACAAACGUACCGGGAACGAGACGAACGUGCUGGUCGAAGAUAAACGAACGGUCUAGCCACUAGAAAGCGAGAGAGAGAGAGAGAGAGAGAGAGAGAGAGAGAGAAAGAGAGAAAGAGUCAAAUGACGAAGUGAAUGAACGAGUAUGUCGAAGAAGUAAAGAGAGACAAAGAUGGAUAAGAAGAUAGGAAGAGAGAAAGAGAUAGAUAGAAAGAUAGAUAGAUAGAUAGAAAGAUACAGACAGAGAGAGAGAAAGAGAGAGAGAGAGAGAGAGAGAGAGAGAGAGAGAGAGGGAGGGAGAAGCAAUGAAAGACAAGGACGACGGGAAGGAGACGAAGAGUUUAAGGAAAUCGUGAAUCUCUCGAAGGAAAGCAUCUGGAGUCUGAGAAACACUGCCAGCAGAGAUAAGCGAUGGUCCAGGGCGGUGUGCACGUGUAUGUGUACGUGCACAUGUAUAUACAAGUGUAUGUAUGCAUGUAUAUAUCUGUACGGUUAUGUGUACGUGUAUGUAUGCGUACGUAUAAGAACCAGCCUGGAGAGUCUCGUGCGAGAGAUCCAUGUAAUUCCAAGAAGCGUACAGUCAUCGGAAAAAGUGAAGGGGUUAUUCGACGAAAGAAAAGAGAGAUGAGAAAGGAAGAGAAGAAAAUACGUCUCGGUGGUGGUCUUCGUCGUUGACUUUUCGAGGUAGGGUGGACGGUUGAAGGUGGGGUGGUAGCUGUGGUGGGGCUUGAAUCGGAUUGAGUUGGGUUGGGUUGGAAUGGAUUGGAAUGGAUUGGAUUGGAUUGAAUUGAGUUAGGUUGGGUUGGGUUGGGUUGGGGACAGACCUGCAUCAUUGCUACAGCGAAUAUUCGAAGAAAGUUCCUUGACUUGUGAUUUUGUGACAUUUGUUAUUGUUAUUGUUAUUGUUUUUAUUGUCAUCUUCGUCGUCGUCGUCGUCGUCGUCGUCGUCGUCGUCAUCGUCGUCAUCGUCGUCGUCGUCGUCGUCGUCGUCGUCGUCGUCAUCGUUAUUGUUGUUGUUGUCUUCGUUGUUAUCGUUAUUGUUGUUGUUGUCUUCGUUGUUAUCGCUUUUCUUGACAAAAGAUUUCUUGAAUAUUUUCAAUGUCUUAUCAACAUUUUAUAUACGUUGUUGUUAUUAUUAUUUUCUUUACCUUUUCUUUUUUUCUUUGAUUUUUUAAUUUUCCAUGAAUAUUUCGAUGCUUUAACUUGUUUAAAUGUUGUUGCUAUUAUUACUUUCCUUGAAAAAAGAUUUCUUAAAUAUUUUUUUAAUGUCUUCAAU